GGGGGUGUGGUGUAAUGGAUAGCAUCGGGGGCUUCGGAUCCCUGGAUCUCGGUUCGACUCCGGGCACCCUCA
Molecule: transfer RNA, 72 nt
Filed under: Candidatus Thalassarchaeaceae archaeon
Lineage: Archaea; Methanobacteriati; Thermoplasmatota; Candidatus Poseidoniia; Candidatus Poseidoniales; Candidatus Thalassarchaeaceae
Description: tRNA-Arg
Rfam family: tRNA
About the family: Transfer RNA (tRNA) molecules are approximately 80 nucleotides in length. Their secondary structure includes four short double-helical elements and three loops (D, anti-codon, and T loops).
Source: RNAcentral